Molecule: long non-coding RNA, 630 nt
Filed under: Carica papaya (papaya)
Lineage: Eukaryota; Viridiplantae; Streptophyta; Magnoliopsida; Brassicales; Caricaceae
Description: long non-coding RNA (CPAP_LNC006294)
Source: RNAcentral
GCUGAUUCGAUGCCUGAGCUUUUCUUCUGUAAAUAACUUUUCAGCAGAGUAAGAGAAACUGCAGAAUUGAUAUCUUGCUUAGCAGUGUUGUUUGAAAUCUAACAUCAUCAAAUUUUUUUUUGCAGAGGAGCAAGAAAAAGAAAGAGAAAUGGCUGAAAAUGGAAAAGAGUAUGGAGAAGAUUAACUUUGGAAGUAAGAUAAUCAAUUCUAAGCACCAUCUAGAUGAUCAAGACCUGUAUCUUUUCUUAAUUUUCUGGCGUUGGAAUGAAGAAGGAUAGUUUUAUUUCUUUUUUUUUUCCUCUUGAAAAUGGAAGGAAACAGAAAAGAAGUGUUAUAGUUUAUUGAUACAGCUGAUGUGAAGAAGUAUAUAGCAUGAGUCACUUAAGAUUGUGCUUUAAUUCUGUAUGGAAUGAAAGCUGAAUGUUUGUUUAACCCCUCAAAACUCUCUCUGUGUUUGAAUUUCUCAUGAGAUUAGGGUUGGAACAAAUAAACUUUAUUUGCUGUAUUUAUUUAGAAAUGCAUAAUUAUGUGAAGCAAUGCUUUUUAAGUUCUUCUAAUUUUACUUAAAAUUACGACGGCCAUAGUAUUAAAAAUCAGUAACAGCUUAUGAAAACUGAAAAACGUUCAUAU